This 100-nucleotide small RNA is filed under the name Pongo abelii (Sumatran orangutan). RNAcentral describes it as "processed transcript". The record is from RNAcentral. Lineage: Eukaryota; Metazoa; Chordata; Mammalia; Primates; Hominidae.
GGGGGCCAUCGGCUGAGAUGCAGGGCUACAUGAUGCGGGACCUCAACAGGGCUUGAAAGAAGGGAGGAAAAAGCACCAAGUUCUCAGGGAAGACAAUAAG